ACCCCCGUUCGCCUCAGCGACUUCCGCCCUGCUGGGUCCGCCAGCGAAACCCUUCCGCCUCUUCCGGCGGCCCCGCCAUCAGCUCCGCGUUUCCCCCCGGAGCUGCGACACUGAGCACGGCGGGCGGGGAAGGGAACGAGCUGUCGGAAGCGCCCCUCAGGGCAGGGCCGCCAUCUUGGGGCUGGCGUCUCUGGCGCUGUGGGCCGAGUCAGAGCGUUAUGAAUUAUUCAUGCAAUUAAUUUUGCACCGGUUCCAUACUGAGUUGAUGGAGCUGGUCAGACUGCAGCCUUGUUAUUCUGUUAAAAAAUAUGAUCCUGCUGAAGAGGAAGACAGCACCCACAAGGACUGGCUUGGAGCAGUAACACCUCUAGUGAGCUGCAGUCUCACCUGCUUUUCUGGUUCUGCACUGGCCAGGUCUGGCCAAGGAGCAUUCCAUGGCCUUGUUGUGCCAAGACACAACCAGCAGUAUUGCCAAAAUAAAGUCAACAGAAUUAACUCCUUAAGCAAACAAACUUUGCUUUCUGCUCCUCAUUGAGGAGUUUUGCUGAUUCUUCCUGUUUCCUUCUUCUUUGUAACUUCUGCCAUAAUAACAGGAUUCCUCAGACAUUAUUUUUGGCCAGGUGACUGUUCAGUGCCUUACACCACCUCCAACUGUUGCUACAGGCCUGUUUCAUUCAAUACUAGUCCUUUCUAAAGUCCAUCAAGUAUACACAAGACUUGAGUUCUGCCUGGAAAGUUCAUAGCUCAGACUGAAGCCAGGAAGGAGCAAAAAGCUGCUUUUAUAUUCCAGCCAAGGAUACAUUAGGAGUCUACAGCUUAAAUAUUCAUGAAACUAUAAAAAGCACAAAUACCUUCAAGAGUUUUUCACGGUGAGCUGGAACAUCAGUGUCCACAGCUGGUUGAGGAGAGGGGUGUCAGUCUUGAAGGCAGUUUCCUUUAGGCCCUCUGGAUGUUCAGGAAUAUCAGAGAAAUCCAGAUACACAGAAAAACAAAAACACACACACAAAAAUGGACUUUUUGAAAACAUUGCUGUUCUCAUGUCCCUCCUCACUCAGUUGUGACCUGCUAGCUCCAGAGCCUGCAGCCCCUAGAUCCACACUCCCACAGGCAUUAGCCACGUUGGAGCACUUGGAAGCCCAGGAAAUGAACCCAGUUUAGUCCCAGGCAGAGGCAUGUGGGCAGCGAUGGAGUGUGUCCCUUCCACUGUGCGCAGAGUGAGCAGAAUGGAUCAAGUCAACUGAGGUGGGUCCCUUUUCAGCACUCACAGUGAGAACAAGGCUGGUUCCCUGCUCUGGACAUUGGCUUGGACUUUAAAGACCUGAUUCAGUUCCCUGCUGUGCUGCAAGUCCCAUCCCCUCAUUUUCCCUUUCACCAGGGCUGGAUCCAGCAACACAAAGCUGUAAAGUGCCUGGAUUGAUUUGGCUGAUCUGGUGGAAAGCCCUUCAGUUUUAGCUACAGUGUUAGUUUUCUGCUGGCUCAGCAGUCUGAACACACUCACCUGCUGGCUGCUGCCUCACUGAGCAGAGUGAGAACAUGGCCAAGGACAAAAGUGGGCAGGACCACCCCUUUUGGCAGACUCACUGAUCAUUUUAGCUGCAGCACAGAGCCCUCGGCUGCUGCUGUCACAAAUACAUUCCCAGUUAACCACUCCAGUGACAGUAAACAGAGAACUACCCUGUACAGAAAUUAUGUUUCACUCUCUGGUGAUUGUUUCCUUCUAAUGCACUAAAACAUCCUCAGCUAAUGCCCUAAUAAGAUUUUGCAGGUAUAAAGUGUAUGGAUGGCUCAGGAAUGGAGAGACAUUAUAAUGGGAGAACUUUAUGGAAGACAGAAAACAAAUCUAAUGAAUUUGUUAUUCCUCAGAAACAUUGUGAAAGACAAUGAUGCAUUGCAAAGUACUUCUCAAGAGCCCAGGAGUUGCCAGUACUGUUUUCUCCCCCAGAUAAAAAGUUUCUUUUACUCAGUUUCUGAGAGAGAAACUUCAGCAUCAGGAAUCUGAAGGACAUUCAGAGGGUCUGCCACUGCUUUUCGGAACAGGCUGUACUGGUGAAGGACAGUGGUGGCCUGUAAGGAAGGUGUUCCUUUGAUCCCAUGUUGAAGCUAUAUGUUAAGGAUGGGAGUUUCCCUUCAGUGAAUGUACAAUUUGUCACUGCUGUUGUCUCAUCAGGACCACCCCGGGAGAGGCCUGGGGAACUGGCUGUGCUCACAGCGCAGCUGCAGAGACAUUGUACUCUCCAGUUAUCUUACACAGGCUUGUUGUGUUCCCAGCUCCCUCUGCUUUCAUCCUGUUAUGAAAGGGAAAAAAGAGUGGGUACUUCUUGCCAAGGUGCAAGCCAGAAAGAUGAAGCUAAGAGGCUCUGAAUAAAUCAGGUGUGUUUGUCA
Parus major (Great Tit) is the source of this 2382-nucleotide long non-coding RNA. The record is from Ensembl. NCBI's taxonomy places the organism in Eukaryota, Metazoa, Chordata, Aves, Passeriformes, Paridae.